RNAcentral lists this ribosomal RNA (380 nucleotides) under fungal sp. Cul23. RNAcentral's name for it is "partial 28S ribosomal RNA". It matches the Rfam family "Eukaryotic large subunit ribosomal RNA", at positions 38 to 422 of the family's 3401-position model. Lineage: Eukaryota; Fungi. The record is from RNAcentral.
GCAUAUCAAUAAGCGGAGGAAAAGAAACCAACAGGGAUUGCCCCAGUAACGGCGAGUGAAGCGGCAACAAAUCAAAUUUUAAAUCUGGCCCCCAGGGCCCGAGUUGUAAUUUGCAGAGGAUGGUUUUGGCGCGGCGCCUUUCGAGUUUCCAGGAACGGGACGCCAAAGAGGGUGAGAGCCCCGUCUGGUCGGACGCCAAGCCAGUGUAAAGCUCCUUCCACGAGUCGAGUAGUUUUGGAAGGAUGUUCAUAUCAAGAUGGGUUUUUUUUAUAACAAAAAAUAUAGCCCAGAGACAGAUAGCGCACAAGUAGAGUGAUAGAAAGAAAAAACGCACCAGAAAAGAGGGUUACACACUACGUAAAAUUGUGAAAGGGAAGCAC